This 344-nucleotide unclassified non-coding RNA is filed under the name uncultured fungus. RNAcentral describes it as "partial contains 5.8S ribosomal RNA and internal transcribed spacer 2". The stretch from base 1 to 133 matches the Rfam family "5.8S ribosomal RNA", at positions 22 to 154 of the family's 154-position model. Lineage: Eukaryota; Fungi. The record is from RNAcentral.
UGGCUCUGGCAUCGAUGAAGAACGCAGCGAAAUGCGAUAAGUAAUGUGAAUUGCAGAAUCCAGUGAGUCAUCGAAUCUUUGAACGCGCAUUGCGCCCGCCAGCAUUCUGGCGGGCAUGCCUGUCCGAGCGUCAUUUCAACCCUCAGGGAACCCCUUCGCGGGGGGGACCUGGUGUUGGGGGCCGGCCCGCCCAGCGCGCGCCGCCCCCGAAAUGCAGUGGCGACCUCGCCGCAGCCUCCCCUGCGUAGUAGCACAACCUCGCACCGGAGCGCGGAGGCGGUCACGCCGUAAAACGCCCAACUUUCUUUAGAGUUGACCUCGGAUCAGGUAGGAAUACCCGCUGA